AUGGUCGCUGAGGCGGUGGGCUUCAUGAUGCCCCGCGCGGCGGACGGCGGCACCAUGGCGCCGGAGCUCGUCACCCGGGACUUCCUCGGCGGCUGCCAGGCGCCCGCCCCCGCCGCCGACGACCCCAGGCACGACGCCGCCGCCCUGCAGCCCGGCAAGCCACCGCUGCAGAAGCACCUCAGCCCGCCGCCGUCGGCCAGGGGGGACCUCAACCUCUUCCCCGCCGCCGGCGCCGCCAUGGCGCCGUUGCCGACGAUGGCGCCGGCGGCGGACUGCGCCGCCACCACCACGUACCACAGCGUUUGCACGAUCGAGAAGGUCAAGACCGCGCUGGAGCGGUUCGAGCGCGGCAAGCAGGGGCACCACCACCAGCAGCAGCAGCAGCAGCAGCAGCACAGCGGCGCGGGCGCGACCGCGGGCGCCUCCCCGUCCUCCUCCUCGGUCACCACCUCCUCCGUCAAGCGCCGCGGCGACGUUGCCGUGGAGCAGGGCGACGGCUGCGACUCCCCGUCCGCCAGCGCCGGCGGCGGGGGCAUGGUGGCCGCCGCCUGCCCGCGCUGCUUCCUCUACGUGCUCAUCGCCCGGAGCGACCCCCGCUGCCCGCGCUGCGAGUCGCACGUGCCGCCGCCCCCGGCACCGGCCCCCAAGAAGAAGCCAAGGAUCGACCUCAACGUCGGCUUCCUCGGCACCUAG
Molecule: ribosomal RNA, 693 nt
Filed under: Triticum aestivum (bread wheat)
Lineage: Eukaryota; Viridiplantae; Streptophyta; Magnoliopsida; Poales; Poaceae
Description: partial small subunit ribosomal RNA
Source: RNAcentral